This is a long non-coding RNA of Capsicum annuum, 770 nucleotides long. RefSeq lists it as uncharacterized. The record is from RefSeq and is a predicted model, not a curated record. The transcript is spliced from 3 exons. Lineage: Eukaryota; Viridiplantae; Streptophyta; Magnoliopsida; Solanales; Solanaceae.
ACACUCCAAAUUUAUUACUAAAUCGGUAUGUGUGACACUAAUAAAAACAACCAAAGUACAUCAUUUUCCCCAUAAAAUCCAAUUAAACAUUGUUAUUUUUGUGUUCAAAGAUUUCACCUUUUUUGCCUUUUCUUCAAUAACCACAAUUUUUCUCUCGAUGAUUUUCUUGAAAAUCUGAUUUUCUUAUACUUUCUUUGUGGUUGUUCGUUGAUAUCCUUAUUAGCAUAAAAAGGUUUAUUUGAAGGGUAUUCAUUAGAUUUGUAUAAAAAGAAUAUGCACAGAUUUGUGUAUUUUCUGAAAAUGGUUAGGUUUUUUGCUGAUCGUUUGUUGAGUUUUCGCGAUCUGAAGGAAGGGAUUUUGUUGAUUUUCAGCUUGAGGCUAUUGAAAAUUGGGAGGAAACAAUUGAUGAUAUCAUCAAUAAUUUUGAGAAACAACACCAACGGAAGCUCCUGGACAACAUUUUCUACUACUAAAAGGGUGCCGAUAUUAUAGUAUUGAUGGAACUACUAGUUGUUUGAUAUCCAAUUUGGCUGCUGAUAUGUUGGGAAUGCAUCACCAUUUUGUGUAAACCUUCCCAGUUAUGGCAAGUGAAGAAAAAAUUGCUCAAAAAAAGUUGCUACCCAUAUCUUGUUUUUGAUAAUUUUGAAGUUGGGUUGUGAAUUUUUUUUUAAAAUUUUGAUAUUUUUAUACACUUUGUUUAAGGUUGUUUUUGUUUUAAGAUUGAAAUUUUGGAAGUUGAUGGCCAUGGCUAUUGUUGAGGGGACUGACGA